UACCUAAGCUGCUUUUAUAGCCUUGAAGGG
RNAcentral lists this non-coding RNA (30 nucleotides) under Mus musculus (house mouse). Lineage: Eukaryota; Metazoa; Chordata; Mammalia; Rodentia; Muridae. The record is from RNAcentral.